Molecule: ribosomal RNA, 253 nt
Filed under: uncultured bacterium
Lineage: Bacteria
Description: partial 16S ribosomal RNA
Rfam family: Bacterial small subunit ribosomal RNA
Source: RNAcentral
GACAGAGGUCUCGAGCGUUAGGCGGAAUCACUGGGCUUAAAGCGUGUGUAGGCGGACUUGUAAGUACCUUGUGAAAUCCCACGGCUCAACCGUGGAACUGCUUGGUAUACUGCUUGUCUUGGGCCAGCUAGAGGUUACCGGAACAAACGGUGGAGCGGUGAAAUGCGUAGAUAUCGGGAGGAACACCUGUGGCGAAAGCGGCGCACUGGACCACAACUGACGCUGAGGCGCGAAAGCUAGGGGAGCAAACAGG